GUCAGUGUGGCCGAGUGGUUAAGGCGUCAGACUUGAAAUCUGUUGGGUUAUCCCGCGUAGGUUCGAAUCCUGCCGCUGACG
Coemansia sp. RSA 1365 is the source of this 81-nucleotide non-coding RNA. NCBI's taxonomy places the organism in Eukaryota, Fungi, Kickxellomycota, Kickxellomycetes, Kickxellales, Kickxellaceae. The record is from the annotation of a GenBank genome assembly.